RNAcentral lists this ribosomal RNA (722 nucleotides) under uncultured Bacteroidota bacterium. Its description in RNAcentral is "bacterial SSU rRNA". It matches the Rfam family "Bacterial small subunit ribosomal RNA", at positions 192 to 917 of the family's 1533-position model. Lineage: Bacteria; Pseudomonadati; Bacteroidota. The record is from RNAcentral.
UGAAAGAGAUUAAAGAUUUAUCGGUGAUGGAUGGGGAUGCGUCUGAUUAGCUUGUUGGCGGGGUAACGGCCCACCAAGGCUACGAUCAGUAGGGGUUCUGAGAGGAAGGUCCCCCACAUUGGAACUGAGACACGGUCCAAACUCCUACGGGAGGCAGCAGUGAGGAAUAUUGGUCAAUGGACGAGAGUCUGAACCAGCCAAGUAGCGUGCAGGAUGACGGCCCUAUGGGUUGUAAACUGCUUUUAUAAGGGAAUAAAGUGAGUCUCGUGAGGCUUUUUGCAUGUACCUUAUGAAUAAGGACCGGCUAAUUCCGUGCCAGCAGCCGCGGUAAUACGGAAGGUCCGGGCGUUAUCCGGAUUUAUUGGGUUUAAAGGGAGCGUAGGCCGGAGAUUAAGCGUGUUGUGAAAUGUAGACGCUCAACGUCUGCACUGCAGCGCGAACUGGUUUCCUUGAGUACGCACAAAGUGGGCGGAAUUCGUGGUGUAGCGGUGAAAUGCUUAGAUAUCACGAAGAACUCCGAUUGCGAAGGCAGCUCACUGGAGCGCAACUGACGCUGAAGCUCGAAAGUGCGGGUAUCGAACAGGAUUAGAUACCCUGGUAGUCCGCACGGUAAACGAUGGAUGCCCGCUGUUGGUCUGAAUAGGUCAGCGGCCAAGCGAAAGCAUUAAGCAUCCCACCUGGGGAGUACGUCGGCAACGGUGCAACUCAAAUGAAUUGACGGA